UAAAGCAGCCAUAUCACCCUGCAACUCACAACUGGCAACCCACUGAAGCUCAGCAGGUGUGAGCCUGGUCAGUACCUGGAUGGGAGACCUCCUGGGAAAAACUAAGGUUGCUGCUGGAA
This is a ribosomal RNA of Lepisosteus oculatus (spotted gar), 119 nucleotides long. The record is from Ensembl. Lineage: Eukaryota; Metazoa; Chordata; Actinopteri; Semionotiformes; Lepisosteidae.